UGGUUGAUCCUGCCAGGGGCGACCGCUAUUGGAGUUCGAUUAAGCCAUGCGAGUAGAAAGAAAUUAGAUUCUUUGCAUACUGCUCAGUAACACGUGGAUAACCUGCCCUGUGCUGGAGGAUAAUCUUGGGAAACUGAGCAUAAUACUCCAUAGACCACUACGCCUGGAACGGUGAGUGGUUCAAAGCUCUGGCGGCACAGGAUGGGUCUGCGGCGUAUCAGGUUGUAGGGGGUGUAAUGGACCCCCUAGCCCUCGACGCGUACGGGUUGUGGGAGCAAUAGCCCGGAGACGGAUUCUGAGACACGAAUCCGGACCCUACGGGGUGCAGCAGGCGCGAAAACUUCACACUGCAGGCAACUGUGAUGAGGGAACUCCAAGUGACUGCACAAUGUGUAGCCUUUUCUUGACUGUUAAUAAGUCUUGGAAUAAGGGCUGGGAAAGACCGGUGCCAGCCGCCGCGGUAAUACCGGCAGCUCGAGUGGUCGUCGCUUUUAUUGGGCCUAAAACGUCCGUAGCCUGUUCAGUAAACCCGUGGGUAAAUCAACCAGCUUAACUGGUUGAAUUCUGCGGAGA
RNAcentral lists this ribosomal RNA (573 nucleotides) under uncultured Candidatus Poseidoniales archaeon. RNAcentral's name for it is "bacterial SSU rRNA". It matches the Rfam family "Archaeal small subunit ribosomal RNA", at positions 5 to 583 of the family's 1478-position model. The record is from RNAcentral. Lineage: Archaea; Methanobacteriati; Thermoplasmatota; Candidatus Poseidoniia; Candidatus Poseidoniales.